This 319-nucleotide unclassified non-coding RNA is filed under the name Hevea brasiliensis (rubber tree). Lineage: Eukaryota; Viridiplantae; Streptophyta; Magnoliopsida; Malpighiales; Euphorbiaceae. The record is from RNAcentral.
GUGAGCAAUGGAGUCAAAACCUCUUAGCAAAAGCAAUGAGUCCUCUUUCAUUCUUUUGGCUCGGUCGGAUUCUCCGACACUCACACGGGUGGCUGAAGAUGUGUCAAGAUUGAAUUGAUCUUGGCCUAUGGAAACCCCGCAUUGGCGAUUCUCGAGAAGCGCAUCGAUCCGGCUACGGAGAGUGCUCCAGAAACGCUUAUCCGAAGCAGGGCUGAACAGAGGUGAAGAAAUCAUCAAGGUUGUGGACUCCUUGAGGAGGCGAGCAGGGGAUGGCGAAUCCAGCGAAGCAGCCAUGAGAAAGGGAGAGAUAUGUAACGGC